This is a long non-coding RNA of Felis catus (domestic cat), 899 nucleotides long. RefSeq lists it as uncharacterized. NCBI's taxonomy places the organism in Eukaryota, Metazoa, Chordata, Mammalia, Carnivora, Felidae. The record is from RefSeq and is a predicted model, not a curated record. The transcript is spliced from 4 exons.
GCAGUGCAAGUGAAUCUUUAAGUUCCAAUUUAGUAUACAUUCCAUUCCAUUCUGAUAUAAACCACGAUGCAUUGCCUAAAGAGAAUACAUGAUCGGCCCCAUAGAAAGUUGAAUAACCUGUGUUAUACUUUUUCCUAAAUUUACUUUUUAUUUUUAUUUAUUUGCUGUUGUUGUCCAAGGUUUAUUGAAGAUAGUGAGCACCAUAAAAAGAUUCAAACAGCCCCACAUGGUGUUUUGAAAUCCAUCCCAUCUGUAGGCUGGGUAACCUACGGUUUGGACAGACCACCCAAGUUCAAAAGUUUCAACAUUUCCUUAGUGUCUGGAUCUACUUCAGCCAUCUCCUGAUCCAAGGCUGAGAACUCAGAUGCCCAAUGGAAAAGGCAGGUGUUACAAAAGAGAGAAGUUGGAGUCUGGAGACAGGGUGUCGUGCAGUCAAAAGAGCUGAAGCCCCUUGACAAGUCCUUGAAACAGACAGAGUGACCUUCCUCGAGGAGUUCAGCUGCCUCCAUGAUGACACUUUGCCAAGGACAAAAGGAAAUCUUAGCCCAGCACCCCAGGAUUCUGCCCCAAGCACUUAAUGACGUCUGAGAAGAGCCAGAUCCCACAUCCCAAACGUGUUCAGGACAUUAGCUUCGAACAAAUCUCGACUGAUGCUGGCAUCUAUACCCCCUACCUUCAGUGAUUUGUGGAAUGACACCUAUCCUUCACCUGGCACUCGCCUUUGAUCGGACCCUACCUGGAUUCCUGAAGGAACACGUACACUAGACCCCUUUCCAAUGUAAACCCGUAAACUCAAGUGAUGACAUGACUCAUUUUCCUUUCCUUCCCAAGUCUUCCAGAUGCUCUGUCUGCUAUUCUCUGUCUGUCACUUCCACUAUUCAAUAAACUGUUUCACUUUC